RNAcentral lists this ribosomal RNA (553 nucleotides) under uncultured bacterium. RNAcentral's name for it is "bacterial SSU rRNA". It matches the Rfam family "Bacterial small subunit ribosomal RNA", at positions 346 to 916 of the family's 1533-position model. The record is from RNAcentral.
AGGCAGCAGUGGGGAAUAUUGGACAAUGGGCGCAAGCCUGAUCCAGCAAUACCGCGUGAGUGAUGAAGGUCUUCGGAUUGUAAAGCUCUUUUAGUAGGGAAGAUAAUGACGGUACCUACAGAAAAAGCACCGGCAAACUUCGUGCCAGCAGCCGCGGUAAUACGAAGGGUGCUAGCGUUGUUCGGAAUUAUUGGGCGUAAAGCGUACGUAGGCGGCUUUGUAAGUCGGUUGUGAAAGCCCUGAGCUCAACUCGGGAAUUGCAAUCGAAACUGCUUCGCUUGAGUUUGGUGGGGGAUAGUGGAAUUCCUAGUGUAGGGGUGAAAUCCGUAGAUAUUAGGAGGAAUAUCGGUGGCGAAGGCGACUAUCUAUGCCAAUACUGACGCUAAGGUACGAAAGCGUGGGGAGCAAACAGGAUUAGAUACCCUGGUAGUCCACGCUGUAAACGAUGUGUGCUGGAUGUUGGGCGACCUAGUCGCUCAGUGUCGUAGCUAACGCGAUAAGCACACCGCCUGGGGAGUACGGCCGCAAGGUUGAAACUCAAAAGAAUUGACGG